UACGUAGGUGGCAAGCGUUGUCCGGAUUUAUUGGGUUUAAAGGGUGCGUAGGCGGCCUUAUAAGUCAGUGCUGAAAUAUCCCGGCUUAACCGGGAGGGUGGCAUUGAUACUGUUAGGCUUGAGUACAGAUGAAGUAGGCGGAAUUGACGGUGUAGCGGUGAAAUGCAUAGAUAUCGUCAAGAACACCGAUAGCGAAGGCAGCUUACUAAGUUGUAACUGACGCUGAUGCACGAAAGUGUGGGGAUCAAAC
This 250-nucleotide ribosomal RNA is filed under the name uncultured bacterium. Its description in RNAcentral is "partial 16S ribosomal RNA". It matches the Rfam family "Bacterial small subunit ribosomal RNA", at positions 524 to 773 of the family's 1533-position model. The record is from RNAcentral.